Molecule: ribosomal RNA, 579 nt
Filed under: Triticum aestivum (bread wheat)
Lineage: Eukaryota; Viridiplantae; Streptophyta; Magnoliopsida; Poales; Poaceae
Description: partial small subunit ribosomal RNA
Source: RNAcentral
AUGGCUGUAGAAUUAAAAGAUGCCACUGACCGUUGCCAGCUUCUUGAAGAAGAAAGCCGAGCGAGGGUGACAGACCUAGAGAAGGCCCUGGUAGCUGCCAAGGAAGCCCGCUCCAAAAUUAGAGCAACGAAGGAGGAGCUGCAUCAAGCUGCAGAUAUCGUGUCUGGGAAGCCCUUCUUAUUGCGGACUAAAUUCAGAGAUCCGAAGUAUGCUCCUCUGGACCGACCAUGGAGUUCUACGGACGCCUACGUGGAUUUGGCUGCAAGUGCUGCUGAUGUGGCCGAGUACUUCAUGGAUCAGAAAGAUCGCGAAGUGGAGAAGCUGUUCUGGUCACAGUUUCAUGCUCCAAUCCGUCCGCUGCUGUUGAAUGAGCGAAUGGCCGAGUGGGCCGAGCUCCAUAGGUUGUCCAGACUUUCCAUGAGGUCCGUUGUAGAUCAUCUGUGGCCGGGAGGGCCAAGGCCGAAUAGCUACUUUAGUUUAGUGCAACAAUUCCUUGGUGCUAUGCCACACAUCGAUGCUGUAAAGAGAUCGGCGUGCAUAGAGGGUGCACGGAUGGCCUUUGCCCGUGUUAAGACAUAG